Long non-coding RNA from Panthera uncia (snow leopard), 436 nucleotides. RefSeq lists it as uncharacterized. Lineage: Eukaryota; Metazoa; Chordata; Mammalia; Carnivora; Felidae. The record is from RefSeq and is a predicted model, not a curated record. The transcript is spliced from 2 exons.
CAACACAGAACACACAACAGGAGAGGCGAAUGAUGUCACAAGGGCUCAAGAAGCCGGAAAACAGGACCUUUGUGUCUCAGGGAACUCACUGUCCAAGGAUGGGAGGAAGUGAGACCGGCUUGAGUCACGUGUCCAGCCCUCCCCCAGUCACCGUGGUUGGAGGAUGAAGUGCUCUGAUUGACGACACCCGGGCUUCCUCUCCCCGGAACCAGGAGAAGGCUGGUUUUCAAAGGAAACUCCAGGCGCUAUUACCCUGAAAGCUGGACAAGCUGAAACCACAGACUCCUCAUCCACAGAUGGCUAUUAACUGUGUUGCAAAUAUUUGCUCAUCACACAUUGGUAGUCCCCUGGCCUGGCUAAUUACCCCAGCAGGCCUUCACAAAAACCAUGAAAAAAAGGCAGUAUGGCCAAUGCCCAUAAAGAUAUAACCAAGUCA